Molecule: small RNA, 91 nt
Filed under: Chryseobacterium gambrini
Lineage: Bacteria; Pseudomonadati; Bacteroidota; Flavobacteriia; Flavobacteriales; Weeksellaceae
Description: Flavo-1 RNA
Rfam family: Flavo-1 RNA
Source: RNAcentral
UUUAGCCCAGAUUGCAGCGGCAUCCUUUUUUGUUGCGACCGGAGCGAAGCGCAGGUCGUAAUAAAAAGAUACAGCGGAAAGCUGGAAAUAG